This 482-nucleotide ribosomal RNA is filed under the name uncultured bacterium. RNAcentral's name for it is "SSU rRNA". It matches the Rfam family "Bacterial small subunit ribosomal RNA", at positions 26 to 523 of the family's 1533-position model. The record is from RNAcentral.
AGAAUCAACGCUGGCGGCGCGCUUAACACAUGCAAGUCGAACGAGAAAGUGGAGCAAUCCAUGAGUAAAGUGGCGUACGGGUGAGUAACACGUGGAUCAUCUACCUCUUAGUGGGGAAUAACUCUGGGAAACCGGAGCUAAUACCGCAUCAUCCUGAGAAGGCAAAGCGACAUCUUAAAAAUGACGCGCUGAGAGAGGAGUCCGCGGCCGAUUAGCUAGUUGGUAGGGUAAUGGCCUACCAAGGCAAUGAUCGGUAGCCGGGCCUGAGAGGGGCACGACGGACCGACGACCUGGCGACUGAAACACGGGCCAGACUCCUACGGGAGGCAGCAGUGGGGAAUCUUGCACAGUGGGGGCAACCCUGAUGCAGCGACGCCGCGUGAACGAUGAAGCCCUUCGGGUGUAAAGUUCUUUCGGCAGGAACGAUAAUGACGGUACCUGAGAAGAAGCUGCGGCUAACUACGUGCCAGCAGCCGCGGUAA